This 506-nucleotide ribosomal RNA is filed under the name uncultured bacterium. Its description in RNAcentral is "partial 16S ribosomal RNA". It matches the Rfam family "Bacterial small subunit ribosomal RNA", at positions 30 to 523 of the family's 1533-position model. The record is from RNAcentral.
AUUGAACGCUGGCGGCAGGCCUAACACAUGCAAGUCGAACGGUAACAGGAAUCAGCUUGCUGAUUCACUGACGAGUGGCGGACGGGUGAGUAAUGUCUGGGAAACUGCCUGAUGGAGGGGGAUAACUACUGGAAACGGUAGCUAAUACCGCAUAACGUCGCAAGACCAAAGAGGGGGACCUUCGGGCCUCUUGCCAUCGGAUGUGCCCAGAUGGGAUUAGCUAGUAGGUGGGGUAACGGCUCACCUAGGCGACGAUCCCUAGCUGGUCUGAGAGGAUGACCAGCCACACUGGAACUGAGACACGGUCCAGACUCCUACGGGAGGCAGCAGUGGGGAAUAUCGCACAAUGGGCGCAAGCCUGAUGCAGCCAUGCCGCGUGUAUGAAGAAGGCCUUCGGGUUGUAAAGUACUUUCAGCGAGGAGGAAGGUGUUGUGGUUAAUAACCACAGCAAUUGACGUUACUCGCAGAAGAAGCACCGGCUAACUCCGUGCCAGCCGCCGCAGUAA